RNAcentral lists this ribosomal RNA (616 nucleotides) under Pleurogrammus monopterygius (Atka mackerel). RNAcentral's name for it is "partial 16S ribosomal RNA". It matches the Rfam family "Bacterial large subunit ribosomal RNA", at positions 1797 to 2619 of the family's 2925-position model. The record is from RNAcentral. Lineage: Eukaryota; Metazoa; Chordata; Actinopteri; Perciformes; Hexagrammidae.
CGCCUGUUUAUCAAAAACAUCGCCUCUUGCAAACUCAAAAGAUAAGAGGUCCCGCCUGCCCUGUGACUAUUUGUUUAACGGCCGCGGUAUUUUGACCGUGCGAAGGUAGCGCAAUCACUUGUCUUUUAAAUGAAGACCCGUAUGAAUGGCAUAACGAGGGCUUAACUGUCUCCUCUUUCAGGUCAAUGAAAUUGAUCUUCCCGUGCAGAAGCGGGUAUACAAACAUAAGACGAGAAGACCCUAUGGAGCUUUAGACACCAAGGCGGCCCACAUUAAACACCCCCGAAUAAGGGACUAAACCAAGUGAACACCGCCCUAAUGUCUUUGGUUGGGGCGACCGCGGGGAAUUACAAAACCCCCACGUGGAAUGGGGGCACCCCUCCUACAGCUAAGAGCUACAGCUCUAGUAAACAGAAAUUCUGACCAAUAAGAUCCGGCAAUGCCGAUCAACGGACCGAGUUACCCUAGGGAUAACAGCGCAAUCCUCUUUUAGAGCCCAUAUCGACAAGAGGGUUUACGACCUCGAUGUUGGAUCAGGACAUCCUAAUGGUGCAGCCGCUAUUAAGGGUUCGUUUGUUCAACGAUUAAAGUCCUACGUGAUCUGAGUUCAGACCGG